UAAUAGCACGGCUAGAAUUGUAUCUGUUACUCUUUUGUAUAAGGGGAAGUAGUAGGCCGGAUAAGUCUCUUUGGAAAUCCAGCAGCACAAUUGUUGGGCUUUCAGGAGAUAGAGAUCGUCUCGAAGCCGGGAGAGGUAAGAGAUACUUCAGGGGUAGGGAUGAAAUAAAUUAUUCCUUGAAGGACCACCAGCGGGGAAGGCGUCUCACCUGAGCGGACCUGACGGCACGGGACGAAAGCUAGGGGCACGGACCGGAUUAGAUACCCGGGUAGUCCUAGCCGUAAACGAUACUCCCUAGGUGUCGUCCACGGUGCGACCGUUGUCGGUGCCGUAGGGAAGCCGUGAAGCGAGCCACCUCGGAAGAACGGCCGCAAGGCAGAAAAAUAAAGGAAUAGGCGGGGGAGCACCCCAACGGGUGGAGCUUGCGGUUUAUUUGGAUUCAACGCCGGAAAUCUUACCGGGCCGUCAGCUUUGUAAGGCCAGGGGAUGACUUUCCGGAUUAGCUGAGAGGGGGCAUGCCGUCGUCAGUCUUGCCGGAUAUUAAAUAAAUANNA
Molecule: ribosomal RNA, 554 nt
Filed under: uncultured Methanosarcinales archaeon
Lineage: Archaea; Methanobacteriati; Methanobacteriota; Methanomicrobia; Methanosarcinales
Description: bacterial SSU rRNA
Rfam family: Archaeal small subunit ribosomal RNA
Source: RNAcentral